UACGUAGGGGGCAAGCGUUGUCCGGAAUCAUUGGGCGUAAAGCGCGUGUAGGCGGCUUGAUAAGUCUGCUCUGAAAGCCCGGGGCUCAACCCUGGGAGGCGGGUGGAUACUGUCGAGCUCGAGUCCGGAAGAGGCGAGUGGAAUUCCUGGUGUAGCGGUGAAAUGCGCAGAUAUCAGGAGGAACACCAAUGGCGAAGGCAGCUCGCUGGGAGGGUACUGACGCUGAGACGCGAAAGCGUGGGAGCAAACAGG
RNAcentral lists this ribosomal RNA (252 nucleotides) under uncultured bacterium. Its description in RNAcentral is "partial 16S ribosomal RNA". It matches the Rfam family "Bacterial small subunit ribosomal RNA", at positions 524 to 776 of the family's 1533-position model. The record is from RNAcentral.